This 218-nucleotide long non-coding RNA is filed under the name Solanum tuberosum (potato). RNAcentral describes it as "long non-coding RNA (STUB_LNC007065)". Lineage: Eukaryota; Viridiplantae; Streptophyta; Magnoliopsida; Solanales; Solanaceae. The record is from RNAcentral.
AUGUAUAAAGACCGCACUUUUUGCUUUGUUAAUCAGUUGUCCACUUACCUUUUCAUACUCUAACAAGGUGUUCAUUAUCAACUCUAAAGAAUAUUUGUCUGCUAAUGCAAAUAUGAUAAUAUCAUCUGCAUAAGCUAAAUGGUUCACAUAUAGACUCCACUUUGGCAUUCCAUACUCCUUGUACCCCUCCUUACAAUGAAGUGCAUUAAGAGCUCUAG